AACCUGGUGACUUACAGGAAAAGUUUGACCUCUGUCAUUGCCAACAAAGGCCGGUCAUUUGCAUGCAGUGUGAGCUCCAAUCCAGUUUUCUCCAAGCCCUGUCUAAUCAGCUGCUCAGCAUCAUCUGUCUGGAGGAGACUGGCUCCAUGCCCUCUGCCUGAUGCUACCACAGAGCAGAUACGGCUGGGCUGGCACCGCCACCUUUACUUUGGCACAAGUCUCUGUCUGAGGAGUUAAAGACUGCACCGCAGCCCUUUAGCUCUACAAUUAUAGAUCAAGAGUGGCAGUGAAUCUAUCUGCCCUAAAUGUAAUAAUAUCCAUAAAGUAUACUUGUAUGGCAUUGAUCAUUAUUACUUAUGUCGGCAGAUUGUUGUUACACAUUGAGGCAAAAGAUUUAGGUGGAAAUAACCUCUUAUCAUUGAUUAAAUAUAUCUUCCUUAAUUACCCUACUAUUGCUAAACCUGCUAGCUUUCUGUUCUUGCAUAGCCUAAAUAAACAUAUGCUGUUUACAGCCAACAAUG
Notolabrus celidotus (New Zealand spotty) is the source of this 521-nucleotide long non-coding RNA. RefSeq lists it as uncharacterized. Lineage: Eukaryota; Metazoa; Chordata; Actinopteri; Labriformes; Labridae. The record is from RefSeq and is a predicted model, not a curated record. The transcript is spliced from 2 exons.